This 687-nucleotide ribosomal RNA is filed under the name uncultured bacterium. Its description in RNAcentral is "bacterial SSU rRNA". It matches the Rfam family "Bacterial small subunit ribosomal RNA", at positions 813 to 1500 of the family's 1533-position model. The record is from RNAcentral.
CGACUUGGAGGUUGUUCCCUUGAGGAGUGGCUUCCGGAGCUAACGCGUUAAGUCGACCGCCUGGGGAGUACGGCCGCAAGGUUAAAACUCAAAUGAAUUGACGGGGGCCCGCACAAGCGGUGGAGCACGUGGUUUAAUUCGAUGCAACGCGAAGAACCUUACCUACUCUUGACAUCCAGCGAACUUGGCAGAGAUGCCUUGGUGCCUUCGGGAACGCUGAGACAGGUGCUGCAUGGCUGUCGUCAGCUCGUGUUGUGAAAUGUUGGGUUAAGUCCCGCAACGAGCGCAACCCUUAUCCUUUGUUGCCAGCGAGUCAUGUCGGGAACUCAAAGGAGACUGCCGGUGAUAAACCGGAGGAAGGUGGGGAUGACGUCAAGUCAUCAUGGCCCUUACGAGUAGGGCUACACACGUGCUACAAUGGCGCAUACAAAGAGAAGCGACCUCGCGAGAACAAGCGGACCCCACAAAGUGCGUCGUAGUCCGGAUCGAAGUCUGCAACUCGACUCCGUGAAGUCGGAAUCGCUAGUAAUCGUGGAUCAGAAUGCCACGGUGAACACGUUCCCGGGCCUUGUACACACCGCCCGUCACACCAUGUUGUGGGUUGCAAAAGAAGUAGGUAGCUUAACCUUCGGGAGGGCGCUUACCACUUUGUGAUUCAUGACUGGAGUGAAGUCGUAACAAGGUAAC